RNAcentral lists this ribosomal RNA (460 nucleotides) under uncultured bacterium. RNAcentral's name for it is "partial 16S ribosomal RNA". It matches the Rfam family "Bacterial small subunit ribosomal RNA", at positions 338 to 795 of the family's 1533-position model. The record is from RNAcentral.
CCUACGGGAGGCAGCAGUGAGGAAUAUUGGUCAAUGGUCGGGAGACUGAACCAGCCAAGCCGCGUGAGGGAUGAAGGUACAGAGUAUCGUAAACCUCUUUUGUCAGGGAACAAAGGCGGGGACGCGUCCCCGGAUGAGUGUACAUGAAGAAAAAGCAUCGGCUAACUCCGUGCCAGCAGCCGCGGUAAUACGGAGGAUGCGAGCGUUAUUCGGAGUUAUUGGGAUUAAAGGGGGCGCAGGCGGUCCGUUAAGUCCGCUGUCAAAGCCCCGGGCUCAAGCCCGGACCGGCGUUUGAUACUGGCAGUCUCGAGUUGGAGAGAGGUGUGCAGAAUGCGCGGUGUAGCGGUGAAAUGCAUAGAUAUCGCGCGGAACUCCGAUGGCGAAGGCAGCACGCCGGCUCCACACUGACGCUGAGGCGCGAAAGCGUGGGUAUCGAACAGGAUUAGAUACCCUAGUAGUC